GAUGAAGAACGUAGCGAAAUGCGAUAAGUAAUGUGAAUUGCAGAAUUCAGUGAAUCAUCGAAUCUUUGAACGCACAUUGCGCCCUCUGGUAUUCCGGGGGGCAUGCCUGUUCGAGCGUCAUUAUAACCACUCAAGCUCUCGCUUGGUAUUGGGGCUCGCGGUUCCGCGGCCCCUAAAAUCAGUGGCGGUGCCUGUCGGCUCUCCGCGUAGUAAUACUCCUCGCGAUUGAGUCCGGUAGGUCUACUUGCCAGCAACCCCCAAUUUUUACAGGUUGACCUCGGAUCAGGUAGGGAUACCCGCUGAACUUAAGCAUAUCAAUAAGCGGAGGA
This 329-nucleotide unclassified non-coding RNA is filed under the name soil metagenome. RNAcentral's name for it is "partial contains 5.8S ribosomal RNA, internal transcribed spacer 2, and large subunit ribosomal RNA". The stretch from base 1 to 120 matches the Rfam family "5.8S ribosomal RNA", at positions 35 to 154 of the family's 154-position model. The record is from RNAcentral.